Molecule: non-coding RNA, 310 nt
Organism: Pantherophis guttatus
Lineage: Eukaryota; Metazoa; Chordata; Lepidosauria; Squamata; Colubridae
Source: RefSeq, a predicted model, not a curated record
CAGAGACACUGAUAACCUGGUGAUGGAAUCUAGGAGUUCAGGCAAGAUGCUGGUACAGUAGCAAUAAACCCAUCAGCUUCCUGGAACAAAACUUCAGCCAAAGGGUUACAUACUUUUCAUUAUCUCAGAAGGUGUAUUUACUUGAUGGCAUCCAUUAUGAGACCCCAGGCGCUGGUCUCAUAGCUAAUGUCAAACUCAAAACUUGACUAGGAGUUCAAGACAGCUUACACAAGGAUCAUGCUGCCCAGAAUCACUGUUACGAGAUAGAUGGUGAUAUAAAUUGUUUAAAAUAAAUACAUAAAAAUUUAUA